ACCCCUGUGGUGUAGUUGGUAACGCCUUGGCUUAGUAAGUCCCAGGUUCAAGUCCCGGUCGGGGUA
This is a non-coding RNA of Halocaridina rubra (Hawaiian volcano shrimp), 66 nucleotides long. The record is from the annotation of a GenBank genome assembly. Lineage: Eukaryota; Metazoa; Arthropoda; Malacostraca; Decapoda; Atyidae.